ACGGGGGUGUAGACCACCGUAAACCGGGGGGGAGGGGAAACGUCAGGCUCCGGCCUGGUCCCUGCUAUCCGUGGCGCCCUCCUUCUUCCUUCCUGGAGGCAGAGUACAAACAGUGUGACUGGUGGCCGCUGAGACACAAAAGCACUGUUAACUUGGACUUGGGGUAUUUCUCGCCGGCUCUGCUGUUUACAGCUCUCUUGGUAGGUAUCACUUUCCACAGUCUGUUCUCCUAAGGUUCACUCUCGUUCUCCCUUCUCUCCACAGGUGGCCGCUGGGACACAAAAGCACUGUUAACUUGGACUUUGAGUAUUUCUCACCGGCUCUGCUGUUUACAGCUCUCUGGGUGGCCGCUAGGACACAAAAGCACUGUUAACUUGGACUUUGAGUAUUUCUCACCGGCUCUGCUGUUUACAGCUCUCUGGGAUUUUCCUUUUACUCCAGCGUGUCCACCGCAGA
Molecule: non-coding RNA, 456 nt
Organism: Paramisgurnus dabryanus
Lineage: Eukaryota; Metazoa; Chordata; Actinopteri; Cypriniformes; Cobitidae
Source: RefSeq, a predicted model, not a curated record